Conger conger (European conger) is the source of this 705-nucleotide long non-coding RNA. RefSeq lists it as uncharacterized. The transcript has 3 exons. NCBI's taxonomy places the organism in Eukaryota, Metazoa, Chordata, Actinopteri, Anguilliformes, Congridae. The record is from RefSeq and is a predicted model, not a curated record.
UUCUACCAAAGUUUUUCAUUUGUGCACAGCGUUAGUGCUCCUCAGCAAAGUGGGCUGGUCAUGGAUGCCAGACGCCGAUAAAGAGUAUCCAAAGGUUGCAGAAAAGGCAUGACUCUCCCUGAUGACAACCGACAACCUGAGAUUACCUGCUGAACAGCUGGGAGACGCUAACGCAGCGGUAACAUGAGGAACCAUGUCUACAUUAAUCCCACCUUGACCCAGUUCAGAUUAUAACAAUUAUGUCUGGCCAGUGUACACUCCUAGCUGGCUAAUGGUAUGUUAAAACUUCACACCCACCGAAGUCUGAGGCUUCAGGGCACAGCCUGAGCUCGUAUGCCUGAACCAUUUGUGGUCAUGAAGCUCCACUGCUCCCAUUCCUUGUUAUCAUGACACAUCAUAGUGUCACAGCUGGCCUGGAGCACGGAGCCUUGUUUCAUGAGGACAGCCCCUUGACAGCGGUGACACAUCCAGUGGACGACAGCUGGUGCAUUCUGGGUUUUCAGCAAACUGACAGGUGUGGUUCUCUGAUUGGAAGAUCCACUCACAGAUGACCAGACCGCAAGAUCCCUGCACUAAUCACUGUCUCCAGAGGUGGCAAGGGCAGCUGCUCUCCCGACCAUGUGUGUGUGUGUUUGUGUGUAUGUGUGUGUUUGUUAGAUUACACAUGUGAGUAAAUUAGAGGUAAGGGAGGUGCCCACAUGUUGU